UAUUUGGUUUUUACAUGUUUUUGCCCAUUUUUUCUGGUGUGAAUUUUUUUAAUUAAAUUCCUUUGAUUUUAAUGUUUAGUUUCGAAAUAGAUGAUUUGUUAAAAGAAUAUUGUAGGAAUAGAAACUAAGAAAAUUUUCAAUCUGGGUACGAUUUAUAUCAUGAAGUGCAGGAACAGAUUAAAACAUGACACUGCUCAUACUUUGAACCCAUUCUGGAUGACUCCAUGCAAGCCUUGAACAUCCAUGCCUGUAGAGGUAACAUUAUAAAAGAAUGGUGGCUGCAUGCUGUUCAUGAAAUCCACAACAUGAGAGAUAACAAGUGAAACCUGUCCAAGAUAACCCUAGAAUGAGUCUGUCAUUCCUGCUUUGGAAUCGGAGAAGUAGCCAAAUCCUUGAUCCCACCUCAGCCAUACGUGUGGAGAAAGCUUUAAUGCCCAGGGGAAUCAGCAGAGAAAUUAGACAAGUUAAUGCAAGGCCAUGCAACUUUCCAUCAUGAGAAAAGUGGUACGCUGACCAGAUUGGACUGUUGUACUCCUGUGGGAAGAGAAGCAAUGAGUGCUGCUUUCUGAGUGUGAUACACAGGCACUAAAUAAUUUGUGCUCUCUUUGGAGUUCAUUUGGACAUCUCCUAGUUCUAUUUUUUCAAAUCAAUCAGUUUUCAUCACUGAAAAACACAGAAAGAGGUAUAAUGAUUCAAUAUAAGAUAAUGAUGGAAAAGAGUGAUCUAUGAUUUUCAAAGUUAUCAGGAGUGAAAAUUACACAUCGAUAAUGAUUUUUAAGGCAUCAAAAGGUGUACAGAUGAAUGUAGACUCUGAAAGCAAGGGGAGUAGUGCAUGAUGAGAAAAUAAUUUUUAAAGUGGAUCAAUUAGAAAGAAAUAUAAAACUGGGGAAUAUUGUUGGGAUCAUAAGUUAUCACACAAUGUUGUAGGAGAGAGAAUGUAUGCAGCAGCCAUCUGUUGCCAGCCAGAUGUUAGAAACUCUGAAACAUCUUCACCACCAAAAGUCAAGGAGCAUUUAUUAUAGCGAAAAAGUCACUUUGCCUGAACAAAGCAAGUUUUGCC
Long non-coding RNA from Stegodyphus dumicola, 1060 nucleotides. RefSeq lists it as uncharacterized. NCBI's taxonomy places the organism in Eukaryota, Metazoa, Arthropoda, Arachnida, Araneae, Eresidae. The record is from RefSeq and is a predicted model, not a curated record.